UACGGAGGGGGCAAGCGUUGUUCGGAAUUAUUGGGCGUAAAGCGUAUGUAGGCGGCUAGGUAAGUCAGGCGUGCAAGCCCGUGGCUCAACCACGGAAUUGCGUUUGAAACUGCUUAGCUUGAGUACAGGAGAGGAAAGCGGAAUUCCCAGUGUAGCGGUGAAAUGCAUUGAUAUUGGGAAGAACAUCUGUGGCGAAGGCGGCUUUCUGGUCUGUUACUGACGCUGAGAUACGAAAGCCAGGGGAGCAAAGGGG
RNAcentral lists this ribosomal RNA (253 nucleotides) under uncultured bacterium. RNAcentral describes it as "partial 16S ribosomal RNA". It matches the Rfam family "Bacterial small subunit ribosomal RNA", at positions 524 to 776 of the family's 1533-position model. The record is from RNAcentral.